This 69-nucleotide transfer RNA is filed under the name Nepanthia sp. M04. Its description in RNAcentral is "tRNA-Cys". It matches the Rfam family "tRNA". From Rfam's summary of the family: Transfer RNA (tRNA) molecules are approximately 80 nucleotides in length. Their secondary structure includes four short double-helical elements and three loops (D, anti-codon, and T loops). Lineage: Eukaryota; Metazoa; Echinodermata; Asteroidea; Valvatida; Asterinidae. The record is from RNAcentral.
GGUUUUGUAGUGUAAUGUUUAACAUGUUAAAUUGCAAAUUUGUGGAUGCGGGGAUUUCCGUCAAAACUU